GGCGGGGCGCGGGGGCUCCGCUCGAGCGCUCCUCGUUCCCGCUCGCCCCGAAGCGAGGGGACCGCGGCUCCGCUCCAGGCAGCAGCGAAGCCCGGCACGCCGCUCCGCCGAGCGUGACAGCCGUGCCUUUCGCUCGGCAUCGCCGCGGAGCCGCUCGCCUCAACCCCUUUAACUUUAUUUCGGGGUUUUGCGGGUUCGGGGCUUUCAUGACCACACGUACCCCGCCGCUGUAACGCGGCCUCGGUGCUGUACCGCGAACAUGUAACAGAGCUAAGCACGGGGACGUGUUUAUUUCCCGCUGAAUGGAGCCACCGGCCAGCCGAGCGGGGACUCGAGUCCUUCUCCCGGUGAAAAUGGCCAAAAGACGCUCGAACAAGCGAAGGGACGGAGAGAUAAAAUAGAAAACAUGUCAACACAGAGAGAAAAAUGCCCGGCCGGAGCAUUCCUCCUCUGCGAACACACGCGAAUAAGGGCGCUCACAUCCCAGCCGGUCACCAAGCCCGGCCGCGGGGACACAGACCUGGGCACAGCUCUGGGAGGGAUUGAUUGCCCCUCACCACCUCACACACACUUUUUCAUGUUGCCGCAUGCCCACAUACUUCUGCCGCAGAAAUAAUACAUGUGGCUAAAGCCGCAGGUGCGGAGGUGGCUGGAAAGUUGUAAAAAGCACCUCGACUCGAGGGUGUCCUGCCUGGAAAGCCGCUGUGUUCAGACCCCACGGGCGAAGAGGUUUUUGCGACUCAAUUUCAAAGACAAGGCUGCAGCGUUGCCAUUGAUCCUCAUGGAGCAAAAAAUAACCUUUACCCGAAACAGUGACCAGCAGGGAUUGGGAAGACAGAAAAGUGGGAAAGGAAUCUUUCCUGGUUAAAAUGUGGGGAACUGCCUUAGGAUUUCCAAACAAGCCAGAGCUGAGGAGGUCACCUUUCGGGGAGGGUAGGAGAAGGUGGGGGUUCAAAAUGCAGAAUAGUCACAGAUUAUUGCUGAUGUUGAAUUUCCUGAGGAAAAAAAAUAAAAGCCAAAACCCAAAGCACAACCCAACACCAACCUUUCCUGUCUAGAAUCUGACAAAGUAAACAGGAUUAAUUCACCAUAUGAAAAAAACGUAAACGCCGUCCUAACAAAUGCAGAAAUCAGAAGAGAAAGCGGUUUUAACAGGGCGCACAAUAUUAAUAGUUUGAACGUAUGAUCGUAAAAAUGAAAAACCAUUGAUACACGCUUAAAAGCCGCCGUAUACGCUGAUUGCUCAAGCAUUAAUGAAGAAUGCCCCAGAUUAACUAUUUGCUCUUCGAGGGAUACAGCGAUAUAACUAUCUAUUAGCACCAUUAGAUGCUUUGCUAUUUAUUUGAAAACACCCCUGCGAGUGGGUUGAGACAGAAGAGAUGAAUGUAAAAAUGAACUGCAGCUAAUUUCGCUAAAUAAUUCUCGAAACCUGAGCGCCUCGCAAGGAAGGGGGAGAUUCUCCACUGUCCUUCUCUGAGGCUAAUGACAAUAGAAAUGCUCUGGUUUAAAAGUGAGACCGUAUUGGUUUUCCAAAUAAACAAACGCAUCCCUCCUGCCAUUUUACUGCAGAUGUAAAUUUAUUUUAAUGAGAGGGAGUGGAAGGAUUUAUUUUGCUAAAAUAGAGUUGGGGAUAGAGCCGGUGUAAAUCUUUAGGUUUCAAAAAGAGAGGAGGAAGGAGGGGGAAGCUGCUUUCCUGGCAGAAAGCUGCCUAACAGUCCUCUAAUUCUUUCUAGAUUAAAUCGCAAUAUGAAUACAGCAUCGAACAAAUACCGAGUUUCGCUCUGAACUCAGUGGAAAGCAGUUACGUCUAACAGAAUUCAAUGAAUUCCUCUUCUCCCUCAAUGUAGUAUGUGUGUGUUUUUCUCUUCCACCACACUGAAGUUCCAUGAAUAGGGAAAGUGGCUCCUAUUGUGUGCCUCUGAACUUCCAAGUCAAUGCAAUUUUUAACCACUGGCUUGUGGUACUUUGAAAAUCACCAGGGGCUGUCAGAGUUGGGUCCUCUGAAAAAUUUACAGUGCUAAAUCAGAGCAUAUGCUGUGAGAGAGGAAAAAAAAUUGCUUAAGAUUGGAGCAAGUACAGUAUCUGGCUGCCCCCUAGUGUAAGUCUCUUAUCUGCCUAAAAUUCAACUUUAAAAGAAAAGGAUCUCUUAAAGGGAAACGACUUUUGGCUCACGUAUGCAUACGAGAAUGAAACUUCUGUACAUUUUAAUCUGAUUAAUUCCUAAGGAUUUAAAAUUAAUUGGCUUGGGCACUCCUAGACCGGACUAUAAGAUUUCUGCAUCAGGGUUUCUGCGAGAGCUGUGCCGAAUAGGAUCCAAGCCUCGCUUGCUGUUGUCAGAGCAAAACACUUCAGCUGCUUAAAGUCAGAUCUACGUCUUUUGCAAUAAUACUUUAAAAAAAAAAAAAAAAAAAAGGAUAAAUAAUUGCCUUAAAGCCUCAGCCGAACUGCCAACCACACCUUCGGAUGUUAGAAGGCAGAAAUAUGUGAACUGCUGAGAGAGGGCCUGCCUCAGCGAUGCCAUAAAUAGAGAUUGAGCUAUCAGGAGGAAAAAAAAAAAAAAGGAGAAAGAAUAAAAUAAAAGCAAAAACCCUGGACAGGAAUAGAGACAGACAGAUAAAUGUAUAACUGCAUCUGAACAAUGUUACGUGGCACAUUAGGAGUUGGAAACUGUCACAAACAAAACUACCACAAGCAUUUACCAGCCCACUCCUGAAGAAUAUUACCUGCAUUUACCAUCCGAUGCUGCUGAAGACAAUGAUAUUAAAUAAGCAUUACAUACUUUUACUUUCUAGGAUUUCUUUCCCUCCCACCCAGGCACUGCAUACUUUAUCCAAGGAGAUUUAUCAUGGCGUGUUUUCCAACGUCAGUUUUUCCCUUUUAUUAGAGACAAGGGCAGUCAUUUGUGUUUAGGGAGGGAGACAGGUACAGAGCCUUUAUCUGAUCUGCGUCCCCAGCCACCACCACCACCUUUUUAAUCGAUGGCAGGUCCCCACUCUGGAAGAUCUGGCCCUAUCUGGGUUACUUCUUAGCCAAGGAAUGCAUCCUUCCCUUCAUCUCCACAUAUCUCACCUGUGCUGCAUGCUGCUUUUUGAGAAGGGAAUAAUACACUGCUUACCACACAGCACAGUUUCAAAGCCUUUGUGCGUUUCUCAUCUCCAGCCAAAGCUUAUUAUUUACCACCCAAAAAAUUUACCAGGAUAAGGGGUAGCAGAAGUUAUUUUCUUCAUCUUUACACCCCAAUUUUUAUGCAGUGAAUGCCCUGCACUAGGACCAGAUUCCACUCAGAUGGAAGUUAUUAACUUUCAGCAGAAUGGGGCCGAUUUCAGCCAGCCACAGCCUGUGCCCUUCGAACGCAGUCGCUUUGCCGCAUCCCCAUGUUUAUUUUUUUUCUUUGGAGGGCAUGAUUCUUUAAACAUAUUUGUUUUACACAGAGCAGCAUUUGAAUCCUAACUUUUUUUCCCCCCCUCAAACAUGUAAAGAGAAUAUUAAUAGGGAAUAUUAACAGAGGUGAGUGCAGCAUGAAGCUAGUUAGGUUGUAGUAGCUGAGAAAUAUGAACUAGUGAACAUAAUCCAUAAACUCCAUUUGGUUACUAUAAUACUCCAAUCUGUAUUUAUUACAACCCCACUCUGAUGCUUAUACAACUGCAAUUGCUAGAUUUAUACACUCUAAUGGUUUCACAAUAGGAAAAACCUGUGUCUUUAUCUUUCUUUUCCUGUCCAAAAUAACCCCUUCCACAUAUACUUCAGGCUUCUCCGGACCUUGUCUGGGUUUAAUCACAGGCUUUGGGACAAAAUGUGCAUUAUUAAGAAGUAUAAAUAUUUUCAGAAGCAAUCAAAGGGUUGAAAGAUUGAUUCGGCAUGUAGAUUGGAUUUAAUUCGAAGCAGCUUUGUUCUAAUGAGGACUACUGGGAUACAAAGACGGCAGCCGCUUAUGGCCACCAGUUGGGAACUUCGACUCGCUGCAGCAACCUGUCAAGAAUUCCAAGAAACUGCCAGGAAUUUGGAAGAUGUCCAUGUCUAAGACAAUGGUGAGGAUGGGGCCAAAAUCCAGAUCCAGCCUUGGAUCAAGGAAGCCUUGAUUCCUUCAUCUGAGUGACCCUGUGUUGACCCACGGCUGCUGAUGGAUCGCGGACCUUCCUCUCUCCUCACUGCCCUGCAUCAGAUCACCAGGAGGACCUGAGAGUUCUAACCAGGCAUUGAUCUUUCCUGCUAGCUGGUAGCAUUUGCCACUGACCUUAUAGACCGUGGUCCUGUCCUAACAGUAAGUCUCAUGCACCAGCUGUGAGCUGUAAUUCUGGCUCUGGUCCUCUUAACCUUCCUUUUGCAAACACCAUUGUCCAAUAAAGCAGCAAACAAAAAUCUUACAAUCAAAACAACUGAAUUAUGCUGGUACUUCGAUCAGCUGUUAUCAGGCACAGGCAGUUCUUGAGAUUCAGAAAUGCAGUGUAAUUCACCCGGGAUAAGAAAUCAAAUUUAAAAAUGAGCUGAACAGACAUUUUUAGGAAUAAGUAUAUUUCUAAAUAAACUAGCUUUUUAAUUCCACCUUUUCUAUAUUAGAACAAAUCAAUAUUGUCUGCACUUGGAGAUGAGUUUCAACUGUCAUAAUUAAAUAUUAUCCUGCUUUUUGCAGCACAGCCAAACAAGGACUUUUACUCCUGACACAACAGUUUCCUCAAGUAGGAACAACUUACUAACUUAUUACAGCAAUGAUUUAAGAUCCACAUGGUUUCAUCAUAUUUUAGAAAACAAAUCCCUACCAAAACACACAGCAUGAUUCAUCCCUGGAGUCAGAGCACUGAAGAGAUGGAGUAAUAGAAGAAACAAUAUAUUUUAAAUGCUUUUAAAAUACAAACAUAAUGAUGAUACAUUAAAUAAUGUGAUCUACCCAGCCGGACUUCUAAUUACCUACAUGCAAACCUCAUAUUCAUUCAUCACUUCAUUCUCUUCAGCUGCAAUGUUGGUUUUUGGUAGACACUAACACUGAGCCAUAAGUUUGGAUGGGAAGGGAAACAAGGACAGUGCAAGGCUGUAUAUUAGCUUAGACAAGUAGGAUGUCAUUGCCAGCCUGAAUUUGUUGAUGACACCAGGCAUUAAGCAAGUAAAUCUUCAGCCACUGAAGCAUGAGUUUGCUGACUUUAAGUAAUGACAUCCAGGAGGUGAUCCAGGAGUGGAUUUACACCAGCAAGUACCUAUGGACUCAUAAUGGCCACUUAGCCCUGACCACAAAACAACAAGUCAAAAUGGAGAUUCACCUGUCCCCUGAAAAGAAAAAUUUUGUUUUUCCUUAUUCUAGUCUCAUUUCAAAUGUUCAGGAAGCUGGGUAUGACCAUCUUUGAGGAUGGGGAAGGACUUUUGUCUCUGAAGAAUCCAGCUCAUGGAGUCACUUGGUCAAUUCCCAUUUGCACCCAGCAAAGACCAUGGAGAUGUCAAAUGGUGUAAAAAGGGAUGAACCAUCACAAGACUGGGAUUGGAAAGUGUGGGGAGCAAGCACUCAGGGAGAUGCAGCUGGUUCCCUGGCCCUGGGCUGUGGCUCAGCUCUUGGUCAUGGCACAAGUGACCAGAGGCCAGAAAAACAUGGUGGGGACUGAUUCUGUCUUGGCUACUCCUCAUCAGUGCCUUGAGCUGCAUGAAGCCCUGAGAACCAAGGCAACACGAGGGCACAACCAGGGAUUUGCUCUUCUCAUGGUCCACACCUUAAGCACAGCACAAAGUUCCACCCUUUGCUUCUGCAGCCUGUGAAGCCUUGGGAAAUGAUCUGCACAAAAGAACAAGAAGUAAAAGCUGCCUCUGCCAUCUUCUGUUUAAUUAACAUAGGUAUACCAAUUUGAUGCAAUUAAUCAAGAUAGGAGGGAUUAAACAGUAACUCUGCUGACAAUGACAGCGUUAGCAUGGCUGUGGCAUAAGGAGGGCUGCAAAAUGAGAGUGGUGACUGGGAACACUGUGAGGAAGUGUAAGCUGGCUGAAGUUUUGGGAGGUUUAUGCAGAUGUACUGAAAUUUAGGGGCAGCUGAUUCUUCAUGUGGCCAAGUGUUUAUCUGCCCCUGCCCUUUCCUUUACCCUCUCAGACCUUCCAGGGUAAUCCCCAGAGUGGCAACAACUUUUAAAGCGAUUCCUCUUUCUUUUAACAGAUUCCUGAUGCUAAAGGUCUGACCUUAGAAUGAGCAGUGCAUAGGGCAAGAGUGGGUACUGCAGUGAGCUUCUGGCCUUCAACCCUUCCAAAUACAGCUAUUUUGGUAACCAGAACACUAUAUUCAUGAUGGGUGAGGGAACAGAGCCUUCCAGUGCAGGGCUUCUCAGCACAUUAACUCUAUCAGUGCUGGAUUCUUGGUCGCUAUGCAAGUUUGCCUGUGCCUAUUUAAGACCAUAAAUGCAGCUUUGCAGAGGUCUGCUGCAUUCUGUAACUUCAUGCUUGUGCUUUACUGCCCGAUGCACCUGAAAAGUGGACUGAAUCCUGUGGAUUUCCAUGUGGGUCUGGGAAGGACUGUAAUCACGUGCAGCUGAGAGCAGCUCAGACUUGGAUUUCUUCUUGGCAGGAGAGGCACAGCCUGGUUUGCUACAAUGCAACUGUCCUCAUUAAUGUUCUUCAAGCCCUGAUGUACUGGGACCGCCAUCGUUGGGUCAGAAGAUGGCUGAGUUUUCCAGGCUCAUUCUCUUGUCUUCAGAAUGUUAAAUUGGGUGAUAAUGAGUAGUAACUGUGUCCUUUUUUAUGGUGAAGUUGACACUUGCCUUCUAGUAAACAGACACAGAGAUGACCCUCCUCAUUUCGCACAGGUCACCAAACAGCCCCGGAGUGGUAGGGGUUAUUGGCCAUUUACCAAACUCUGUUUGACUUGGGUUCAUGGGUGAGAGAUGAAAGGCUCUAUAUUGCAUUACCAAUCCCUGGGGCCAGCCAGUCUCCCUAAAGAAGCGUUUCAUUUAGCAAGGCAACUGCUGGGCAUGGGAAUCGGAGACUUGGGAAAAAGAGGACACAGUUUCAAUUGCAAACGUUUCCUUAGGGCAGAUGUCUUAAAGCCACACAGAAGCUCACUGCUUCAGUGUCACAAUAGUUGCUCCAGGACACUUAAUGACCAGCAGAUUUUCCCCUUUAAUUAAUCUCCCCUUUUCCCAAGAAAACAUCCCUUAGGUUCCUUGUGGUGUUUCUGCCUCUGCCCUGCUGUUUUGUCCAUCUCCUUGGGGCAAGACCAGUGCAGCACUUGUGAACUGUUACCUUUCCCAAGAGCUUCAAAAUUGAAACAGAUGAUCAAGUAGCCAUGGUAUCACACUUAGAGGUUUUGGGCUCUUGUGAGGAGAAAUGAGUAUUCCUGAAGUGUCCAAAUACUUUCCUUACCCCAGAGCAAAGAAGCUGACUGAUUUUCUUGGUUAUAGUAGAGUGGUCAUUGCUAUUGGGAUAGUCCAAGUGCUGCCUUUUUACAGAUAAUGGUUUCAAUGAUUGAUGGAUCCAGGAAGAAGAAUAUCUGGUUCAGAACAAGAAUUCAACCCAGACUUUCCCUGAAUUUCCUAUAUUAAAAUCCAGUGUUGUUCCAAAUUCUUAAUCACUGAUUAAAAUCCUCUUUCACUUUCCUCCCUUAUUGUCUGUGAUGUGACUCAUGAGACAUUCAGAAGUUGCACUUGUUGUUUGAUAGUUUUACAUCAUGGUUGUAAUAGUGCAUCUACCAAGUCAGCAGGGUUUUUUCUGCCUUUGUUUAUUUAUUUACCACUCCAUUUCCAGCAAGUUCUUGUCACCCAGUUCCCACUGACAACAGGGGAAGAGGCACAGGUCAGCUCAGAAAAUGAACGACUAGAAGGUAAGUGAAAAGAAUAGUAAAUGCAGGCCAUUCAUGUAACAGGAUCCAAUUCAUUUUUAUGCCAGGGAGAUUUUUUUAAAUGGGACUUCUCCCAGUGGAGAGCUCACAAUGCUCAAGGCCUGUUUCACUAUAAAGACAAUACAUAAUUAUUCUGGGCUUAUUAUUAUUUUUUAUCACUCCUUUUCCAGUUGCAGGGAGUGAGGGCAGAGAUGAGAUCAGGACCCAGUUUAUUGCUGUGCUGGCUGUGCAGCACACAGGGCUGCAGGACCCUGUGGAGUAACAGGUAAAUACACCCAGGCUGAAGGUUCAGGUGACAGGUCUGAGAUGGGAGAAUCCAUCAACAGCAAAAAUGGGAACUCAGCCUCCUGAGGCCUUCAGCCCUGGGCUCCUGCUGCUUGUUGCUUUCAGCAUCUUUUCUUUUCACACUUAUUUUGAAUCGCCGAAAUGAUGAAUUGAAAAAGUGCCAUGUCAUUUGAAGCACUCUUUAUUGUGUUUAUAGGAAACAGAUUAUCUGUUCUCUCUGGAUAGUGGAAAGUGAGUAUGAUGAACUCAUCUGGAGAAAAUGUAGGUUGGGUGUGACAGAGAAACUUGUGUUUUAUACCACAGUGACAUCUCAAUUUCUGGUUUUGGUAUGACAGACUCAGUGAUACUGAACCAUCCUGGUUCCUGCUUUCAGGCUGGGGUCACAAGUUGGACUUGGAAGAAGAAACUUCCAUGCAGAGAUGCAGUGUGAAUACUGUGCCAGGCAGGGGUACAGGAAGGGUGUUUGAAACCAAGCAGUCAUUUCCACCCUGGAUUUCAUGAGGAGUUAUUCUUGUCUCAGAGAAUGACGCACUCAAAUAUCCCUCUAUGGAUUCCAGGUGAGUUAGUCACAUUUAGAUGCUUCCAAGUAAUACACAGAAAGGUGCUGAGAAAAUGAUGAGUCUCUGCCUAGUCACAAAAAAAAAAAAAGCUCAGAAAAAGUAGAUCUGAGCAAAUUACGUGUACUAGUCUUCAAAAUAUUCUAAAAAGACCUGGGGUCAAAGAGGUUUUACCUUAAAAACAGUAGGGAUGCACAGUAUUUACUUUACUGUCUGACCCAUCAGCUGCUCUCUGUCCCCAGAAACAGUUCAGGAAAUAACUGGAAGCAUCUGAAGACAUAAAAAGGAUAAUUAAGUUUCAUUGUGGAAAUAAGAGGGUAAUCUGUCCAGACAAAUCUAGGACCUAGUACUGAGAGCCGUAGGAUCUGAAUAUAAAAAAAUGAGUAAUUUUGAAAAAAGAUGUCUAUCAGGACUGUAAAUUCAGAGAGUAAAAAAGUAGCUUUGCUUAAUAGACCAUCUCUCUCUCCAUCUCCCUCUAACUCAUUUUCUUAUUCUCUUUCUUCCUUUUGUGCAACUGCAAAAAAAAAAAAAUAGUGUGCAAAAUCUGAUAUUGAGAAUACUUUAGCUUCAUUUCAAUCUUCUAUUCUCCAAAUGUUUUGUUCCAACUGGGAAGAUUCCCCCUGGGAGAUAACCUCAGCCAUGGCUGCACGAGGCUUGUGGGGUGGCUGAUUUGCAAAGGAACAACUGUAUUUUGAGGUGUCUCUGAGGCAGCCAGGUCCCCUCUCUUCUGAGGCUCUUAAAGAUAUUUGUGAGCUGGCACGAGAAAUCACCUGGGACUCAGAGCAGACCACAAGUGCUUAGGACAGUGUUUUCUCUUCACCUUUUUUUGCUGAGCAGAAUUGCAGUGCUAUAAACAAAUGUGAGUUUUGCCUCAUUCUUAGGUCCUGUGAGUUAUGAAAGCCCACUCCAGUUGUAAUGAAUGUAUAGAUCAUUUUGACCAGAUCAUAAUCUAUUAGUAAAUAAUGCUCUCUGAAAAUGUAUAGGUGAAAUAAAGAACUUCUUGCUACUAUUGCUGUAUUGGUAUCAAGGAUUACUGUGGAGGCCAACACAAUCCUGAGGCUUUGUGCUGCUGACAUUUAAAUAGAAUACAGAAUUAACUACAGGGUUUGGUUAGCAAAUUCCCUUUUGGAUUAGAAUAUUCAGGAUUUACACUGCUGGAAACAGAACCCAAAACUUUACAAGCCCUGUGCCUUGGCUUCAGCUCACUGACACCCUCACUCAUAUUUAUAGAAUUUUUCCAUUAGAUUCCUAAUUUUGGUGGUGAUAUUAAUUAGCAAAUCACACAAUACUUUUCAGAAUGAGUAGAGGCUGAUAGAGCAAACCCCCAUAACACCUAUGACUUUUCUUCACUAUCCCUGGAGGAAGCCCAAGGGUAGCAGACUAAGACCUAAGGCAAUUGUCAGCACAGUCUAUAGGCCAUGGGAAGGUUAGGUUUAAAGAAGAUGUCACUUUUGGGACAUCUGUGUGACACAUGCUGCAGUGUCCAGACAUUGGAGACUAUGUUUUUACUCUAAAUCUAGAGAGGAAGUCACUGGGAAAAAAAAGGGAAAGAAGCACGGGGGAAUAAAAGUACUUUUGAAAGAGAAGAAAUCUACAUUUCAAUGAAAAUCCUUUCAAGGCAUUUCAAAUAAGAGUCUGAGAGAAAUAAUUACAAAGUUUGGAGAGAAAGAACGUUAGCUUUGAUAUCUUUUUCUUCUAUGAAGCAAUUAAAAUAAGCAAUUUUUCAAAUACUAAGCAGAAAAUUACUAAUGGCUGAACCCAAAAGCUUUCAUUUCCUUCUUGGGG
Molecule: non-coding RNA, 10428 nt
Organism: Cyanistes caeruleus (blue tit)
Lineage: Eukaryota; Metazoa; Chordata; Aves; Passeriformes; Paridae
Source: RefSeq, a predicted model, not a curated record